Non-coding RNA from Arvicanthis niloticus (Nile rat), 399 nucleotides. The record is from the annotation of a RefSeq genome assembly. Lineage: Eukaryota; Metazoa; Chordata; Mammalia; Rodentia; Muridae.
AAGAUGGUGUCCACACCUAAGUUUCUUGGACUUUUGCUUUUCUGGAUUUCAGCUUCUAGAGGUGACAUUGCAAUGACUCAGUCUCCAGCCACCCUAUCUGUGACUCCAGGAGAUAGUGUCAGUCUCUCCUGUAAGGCCAGCCAGAGUAUUAGCAACUACCUAAACUGGUAUCAGCAAAAAUCACAUGGGUCUCCAAGGCUUCUCAUCAAGCGUGCUUCACAGACUGAGUCCGGGAUCCCCUCCAGGUUUAGUGGCAGUGGAUCGGGGACAGAUUUCACUCUUCAUAUCAACAGUGUGGACCCAGAUGAUUUUGGAAUGUAUUACUGUCAACAAGGUUACAGUGGGCCUCCCACAGUGACACAGACCAUAGCAAAAACCAACAUGAAAGAAGAAGUGUGA